GAUGAACGCUGGCGGCGUGCCUAAUACAUGCAAGUCGAGCGAACGGACGAGAAGCUUGCUUCUCUGAUGUUAGCGGCGGACGGGUGAGUAACACGUGGAUAACCUACCUAUAAGACUGGGAUAACUUCGGGAAACCGGAGCUAAUACCGGAUAAUAUUUUGAACCGCAUGGUUCAAAAGUGAAAGACGGUCUUGCUGUCACUUAUAGAUGGAUCAGCGCUGCAUUAGCUAGUUGGUAAGGUAACGGCUUACCAAGGCAACGAUGCAUAGCCGACCUGAGAGGGUGAUCGGCCACACUGGAACUGAGACACGGUCCAGACUCCUACGUGAGGCAGCAGUAGGGAAUCUUCCGCAAUGGGCGAAAGCCUGACGGAGCAACGCCGCGUGAGUGAUGAAGGUCUUCGGAUCGUAAAACUCUGUUAUUAGGGAAGAACAUAUGUGUAAGUAACUGUGCACAUCUUGACGGUACCUAAUCAGAAAGCCACGGCUAACUACGUG
Molecule: ribosomal RNA, 497 nt
Filed under: uncultured bacterium
Lineage: Bacteria
Description: partial 16S ribosomal RNA
Rfam family: Bacterial small subunit ribosomal RNA
Source: RNAcentral